RNAcentral lists this ribosomal RNA (253 nucleotides) under uncultured bacterium. RNAcentral describes it as "partial 16S ribosomal RNA". It matches the Rfam family "Bacterial small subunit ribosomal RNA", at positions 524 to 776 of the family's 1533-position model. The record is from RNAcentral.
UACGGGGGGUGCGAGCGUUGUCCGGAAUCACUGGGCGUAAAGAGCGUGUAGGCGGCCUGACAGGUCUGCUGUGAAAACUCGAGGCUCAACCUCGAGAUGUCGGCGGAAACCGUCUGGCUAGAGUCCGGAAGAGGAGAGUGGAAUUCCUGGUGUAGCGGUGAAAUGCGCAGAUAUCAGGAAGAACACCUAUGGCGAAGGCAGCUCUCUGGGACGGUACUGACGCUGAGACGCGAAAGCGUGGGGAGCGAACAGG